UGCGUAGGUGGGCCAGCAAGUGCUUUGUGAAAUCCCCCGGCUCAACCGGGGAACUGCGGGGCAUACUGCUGGUCUUGAGGAAGGUAGGCGCCGGGGGAACAGUAGGUGGAGCGGUGAAAUGCGUAGAUAUCUACUGGAACGCCGAUGGUGAAGACGCCCGGCUGGGCCUUUCCUGACACUGAGGCACGAAAGCGUGGGGAAGCAAACA
Molecule: ribosomal RNA, 208 nt
Filed under: uncultured bacterium
Lineage: Bacteria
Description: partial 16S ribosomal RNA
Rfam family: Bacterial small subunit ribosomal RNA
Source: RNAcentral